RNAcentral lists this ribosomal RNA (253 nucleotides) under uncultured bacterium. Its description in RNAcentral is "partial 16S ribosomal RNA". It matches the Rfam family "Bacterial small subunit ribosomal RNA", at positions 524 to 776 of the family's 1533-position model. The record is from RNAcentral.
UACGGAGGGUGCAAGCGUUAAUCGGAAUUACUGGGCGUAAAGCGCACGCAGGCGGUUAAUUAAGUCGGAUGUGAAAGCCCCGGGCUUAACCUGGGAAUUGCAUUUGAAACUGGGUGACUAGAAUGUGGUAGAGGGUGGCGGAAUUUCUGGUGUAGCGGUGAAAUGCGUAGAGAUCAGAAGGAACAUCAAUGGCGAAGGCAGCUUCCUGGACAAACAUUGACGCUGAGGCGCGAAAGCGUGGGGAGCAAACAGG